GCUAGGCACAGUGGUGUCUGCCUGGAGUCCCAGCUGCAUGGGAAGCUGAGGCAGGAGGACCUUAAGAGCCCAGGAGUUCUGCAAUGCAGGGCCCUAUACCAGUCAGAUGUCAGCACUAAGUCCAGCAUUGGUAUGAUAUCCUUCUGGAGAGAGGAAGGGACCACUUAAGUUGCUUAUAGAGGGGUGAACUGACCAGGUAGGAAAGGGAGCAGGUGAAAAGUACCAUGCUGAUCAGUGGUGAGAUCAGACCUGUGAAUAGCCACUGUACUCCAGCCUGGCAACACAGCAACAUCCUAUCUCUU
This is a non-coding RNA of Otolemur garnettii (small-eared galago), 302 nucleotides long. Lineage: Eukaryota; Metazoa; Chordata; Mammalia; Primates; Galagidae. The record is from Rfam.